CUUGGUCAUUUAGAGGAAGUAAAAGUCGUAACAAGGUCUCCGUUGGUGAACCAGCGGAGGGAUCAUUACCGAGUUUACAACUCCCAAACCCAAUGUGAACGUUGCCAAACUGUUGCCUCGGCGGGAUCUCUGCCCCGGGUGCGUCGCAGCCCCGGACCAAGGCGCCCGCCGGAGGACCAACCAAAAACUCUUUCGUAUACCCCCUCGCGGGUUUUCUAUAUCUGGGCCAUCUCGGCGCCUCUCGUAGGCGUUUCGAAAAUGAAUCAAAACUUUCAACAACGGAUCUCUUGGUUCUGGCAUCGAUGAAGAACGCAGCGAAAUGCGAUAAGUAAUGUGAAUUGCAGAAUUCAGUGAAUCAUCGAAUCUUUGAACGCACAUUGCGCCCGCCAGUAUUCUGGCGGGCAUGCCUGUCCGAGCGUCAUUUCAACCCCCGAACCCCUCCGGGGGGUCGGCGUUGGGGAUCGGCCCUUUACGGGGCCGGCCCCGAAAUACAGUGGCGGUCUCGCCGCAGCCUCUCCUGCGCAGUAGUUUGCACACUCGCAUCGGGAGCGCGGCGCGUCCAUUGCCGUAAAACACCCAACUUUCUGAAAUGUUGACCUCGGAUCAGGUAGGAAUACCCGCUGAACUUAAGCAUAUCAAUAAGCGGAGGA
RNAcentral lists this ribosomal RNA (650 nucleotides) under Trichoderma spirale. Its description in RNAcentral is "eukaryotic LSU rRNA". The stretch from base 268 to 421 matches the Rfam family "5.8S ribosomal RNA". Lineage: Eukaryota; Fungi; Ascomycota; Sordariomycetes; Hypocreales; Hypocreaceae. The record is from RNAcentral.